Passer domesticus (house sparrow) is the source of this 2913-nucleotide long non-coding RNA. RefSeq lists it as uncharacterized. The record is from RefSeq and is a predicted model, not a curated record. Lineage: Eukaryota; Metazoa; Chordata; Aves; Passeriformes; Passeridae. The transcript is spliced from 3 exons.
UGGUAUAAUGCUUACAUUUCAUAAAAUAUAAACAUAUAUACAUAUGUAUAAAGUCAUGGAAAAUUUUCUUCUUUAAAGUGUGUGUGUGUAAAUACACACACAUACACACACAUACACACACAUGACUACAGACAUGCACACACGUAUUUUUAGGUAUAUAUGCAUGUCUGCUUCUCUUGAGGGAAAAGGGAAGUUCUUGGAAUUAAGGACAGAAUAAGAAAUACUUUAAUUUUCAGCUAUUCUGGUUAAGUGUAAGGGUGAAACAGUCCACUGUUGUAAGUGGAAAUGUUUAUAUAACCCUGGAGAAAGCUGUCACUGGAAAUUGCAGAAUAUCUAUUUUUUUGUGAAAAUUUAGGUAAUCAGUUUCAUGUACAUCAAUCAAUAACAAUUCUUUAUUGUACUUGGGGAAAAAAGACGUCUCUCAAGACCCCGUUCAGGUCUGUAUCUCUAAAUUAUUUUGAUUACUUUUCUUCUUUUUACUGUUCAGGAAGGAGUAGCUCAUGCUCACUAAAUUAAACCAAGACCUCAGAGUGUUCAGAACACCAUCACCAAAUGUUUGAGAGGCUGCACUAGGAAAGAGUCAUUGUUAAGAAAGUACUCACAUAAUAUUCAAUGCUAGGAUGAUGACUAUAGUAAUAUUUAGGGAUAGUAACAUUCAGGCUUUUAAUAGUUCAAUUAUUUGCUGUGUCUUUUAAUAUCAGAUAAUUCUCUAAGAGGUGUGAUUCAUCUAGAAGGGAGGAAAAGGAUCAUUAAAGGGAAAUCCCUUUUAAUGCAAGAGCAGUGCUUGAGGUCAUGCUUGAGUUCAGCACUUCUGUCUUCCAGGAGCUGUUCUGUUGCUUCUUUUCCUGGUGGAGAAGUGAUAAGAGCUUGUCAGUGCAAAGGAAAGAGAGGGGGGAAAAUCCCCUAAAUAUCUAUCAGACAGAAAGAUGAUGCUUAUUACUGAAUCAAGUUAUGACGGUAAAAAAAACAAACAAACAAAACCAAAAAACCCCAAAUCAUGUCUGCCACUUAGAUAGCAAGAGCUGAACUGGUUUUGUGAUUUUUUCCAUUACACUCAUCUGAAUACAGUAAAAGAAACUCCAGAUUCCAAAGAAGACUUUUACCAGGGUAUUUACCAGGGUAUACUGGCAAGUGACUGUACUGGACAUGACAUAGGGAUUCUUAUUUAUGGCCUGGGGACAAGGCUUCCUGUGCUUUUCUCUUUUAUUUUUUUUUAAAAAUUUUUUUGGUGUGUGUAUGAGCUCAUUUUCUCCUUCUUUUUAAUAUUUGUGAGAGAAGUGUCAGAAGAAAAGGACUGGAACUGCAGUGGGUUCAAAGAGGCUGAAAGUUCAAAUCUUGCCUUAGCCCCUUUUAUUAACCUGAAGGUUAAGAUGUAAGGGUGGUAUUCUCCCAUUAAGGAUGGUGAAACAGUGUGAAAAAUGAGCUAUGGAGGCAAACACUGGACAUUUUUAAGAACAGGUUUUAUUAUCUGUAAGGGGAUUAAGUAUGGCAUUAACCACACUGAAGACUGGCAGUAACCAUAUACUUACCUGCUGGUCUGGAGGUUAGUUUCAGCAAUGUUGUCUGUGAAAUGCAUGACAAAAUUUAAGUGAUAUUGAUAAAAUCUUUGUAACUUGUUUUUACUCCUCUGAUAUCUGUAGAUACUGCAGCAAGCCUCAGGGCCCUUAAGGACUGCAGACAUAGCUAUGUAUAGCUACAUUUGAGACAGCAGCACUGCCCAGAGUUACUGACCCUCUUCAGUGCACAGUACAGAGACAUCCAACAAGGCCCCAGCAAGAAAUAAGAGGAAGAUCAACAUCAUUUCUGCUUAGGAGAGCAAGGUGGUUUCAGUAGAUUUUGAUGCAGGCUUGGACUAGAUGUGUGGCUAAACUAAGUACUGCAGUAGAAAGCCAAAUCAAAGGCCCAUUGACCUCACUGCCUUGUUUCUCACAGACGUUGAGAAGCUGUCCAGGAAAGUACAUAGAAACAGGCUGGAUUGCUCCCAGUCCUGUGCUUUGUCACAGUUUCUUUGGGAUUUGGAGCUGUGGCUUACAUUCUGGUACGUCAAUUUCUCAGUUGUAUGGAGUGAGACUCUGCUGACGUUCUUUGGCUUCCUGUUCAGUGAGGCUGUGCUCGGCAUCCUCGGAUUUAAGCACAAUGUGAAUUUUCUUAGACUUCACCCUCCAGACCUCAUUUUGUUUCAUCAGCCCUUCCCUGCCUGUGAGUAAUGAUCGUGAUCACAUCAUGCGGUGGCUGUGGGGAAGGAAGGUCCCCUCGGCUGCAGCCCUUUCGGUGGCAGCAGUGUGGGUGAGAUCAGAAAUUUGGUGUCUCUUCCUUCCCUGUGGAUCCCAGUGCUGAGAAGCCAGCAGCAGUCAAGAGAAGUCACAUUGUUUGUGUGUUGGUGGUUUUCUUAUGAAUGCUGGAAUUACCACAAUUGUAUGAAUAAUUCAUUCAUGAAAAUGAUGCUUGAAAAAGAAAAGUACUCUUCUAUUAUUCUUGGAAAUUGUUAACCCAGUUACUUUUUUUUGCCUUUGCUGUGGUGGGACCUGGCAGUGGCUGUCAUUGAGAGCCAGCAAGUUCAUCUCAGUGAAAGUUAGAGAGGGGGGGGGCAGGAAAGAUGGAGGCCCUUCCCCGCUGCCACUGAUGGCUUUUGUGGGUGUUCUCAGAAAGUCCUGCCGGGCGUCCCGGGUGACUCACCGGCAGCUGACUGAAGGCAGGCAGGAGGCCAGCAGCCCCUGCACAACUGGAAAGUACACAGCCAUCCCAGUGUGUGCCAGAAAAAGGAGAAGAUGACAUGCAGCGAUGUGUCUGUCUGCCUGUCUUGUCUGUCUGUCACAAGGCUAGAAAAAACAGUUCUUUGUAGGAUCUAUGGAAGCUUAGUGCUGUGAAGUCAACUUUGUUCUUGCAAGAGGGACUGUUGGAUGGUCAAGUGGA